CUUUCCUACGGGACGCAGCAGUGGGGAAUAUUGCACAAUGGGGGGAACCCUGAUGCAGCGACGCCGCGUGAGUGAAGAAGUAUUUCGGUAUGUAAAACUCUAUCAGCAGGGAAGAAAAUGACGGUACCUGACUAAGAAGCCCCGGCUAACUACGUGCCAGCAGCCGCGGUAAUACGUAGGGGGCAAGCGUUAUCCGGAUUUACUGGGUGUAAAGGGAGCGUAGACGGAAAGGCAAGUCAGAAGAGAAAGCCCAAGGCUCAACCAUGGGACUGCUUUUGAAACUGU
This 285-nucleotide ribosomal RNA is filed under the name uncultured bacterium. RNAcentral describes it as "partial 16S ribosomal RNA". It matches the Rfam family "Bacterial small subunit ribosomal RNA", at positions 334 to 636 of the family's 1533-position model. The record is from RNAcentral.